ACGUAGGGCGCGAGCGUUAAUCGGAAUUACUGGGCGUAAAGCGUGCGCAGGCGGCGCGUUAAGACAGGUGUGAAAGCCCCGAGCUUAACUUGGGAAUUGCGCUUGUGACUGGCGUGCUGGAGUGUGGCAGAGGGAGGUGGAAUUCCACGUGUAGCAGUGAAAUGCGUAGAGAUGUGGAGGAACACCGAUGGCGAAGGCGGCCAUCUGGGACAACACUGACGCUGAAGCACGAAAGCGUGGGGAGCAAACAGGA
RNAcentral lists this ribosomal RNA (253 nucleotides) under uncultured prokaryote. Its description in RNAcentral is "partial 16S ribosomal RNA". It matches the Rfam family "Bacterial small subunit ribosomal RNA", at positions 525 to 777 of the family's 1533-position model. The record is from RNAcentral.